Molecule: ribosomal RNA, 207 nt
Filed under: Salmonella enterica subsp. enterica serovar Infantis
Lineage: Bacteria; Pseudomonadati; Pseudomonadota; Gammaproteobacteria; Enterobacterales; Enterobacteriaceae
Also listed under: 8 other names
Description: partial 23S ribosomal RNA
Rfam family: Bacterial large subunit ribosomal RNA
Source: RNAcentral
CACUGCCCGGUAGCUAAAUGCGGAAGAGAUAAGUGCUGAAAGCAUCUAAGCACGAAACUUGCCCCGAGAUGAGUUCUCCCUGAGACUUAGAGUCUCCUGAAGGAACGUUGAAGACGACGACGUUGAUAGGCCGGGUGUGUAAGCGCAGCGAUGCGUUGAGCUAACCGGUACUAAUGAACCGUGAGGCUUAACCUUACAACGCCGAAG